GCAAGGAAUUUUGCGCAAUGGGCGAAAGCCUGACGCAGCGACGCCGCGUGGGGGAUGAAGGCCUUCGGGUCGUAAACCCCUUUUCUCGGGGAAGAAUAAUGACGGUACUCGGGGAAUAAGUCUUGGCUAACUACGUGCCAGCAGCCGCGGUAAGACGUAGAAGGCAAACGUUAUUCGGAUUUACUGGGCGUAAAGCGGGUGCAGACGGCUCCCUAAGUCGGGCGUGAAAUCUCCUGACUCAAUCAGGAGGGGACGUUCGAUACUAAGGAGCUUGAGGACAGCAGAGGAAGGCGGAAUUCCCGGUGUAGCGGUGAUAUGCGUAGAUAUCGGGAGGAACACCAGUGGCGUAGGCGGCCUUCUAGGCUGAACCUGACGUUGAGACCCUAAAGCGUGGGGAGCGAAACGGAUUAGAUACCCUAGUAGUCC
This 426-nucleotide ribosomal RNA is filed under the name uncultured bacterium. RNAcentral's name for it is "bacterial SSU rRNA". It matches the Rfam family "Bacterial small subunit ribosomal RNA", at positions 354 to 796 of the family's 1533-position model. The record is from RNAcentral.